Molecule: long non-coding RNA, 11264 nt
Filed under: Gossypium barbadense (sea-island cotton)
Lineage: Eukaryota; Viridiplantae; Streptophyta; Magnoliopsida; Malvales; Malvaceae
Description: long non-coding RNA (GBAR_LNC009061)
Source: RNAcentral
GAAAAGCAAUAAAUGUAUAUGAAAGAAAACAGGAAACUAAUUAUCUCCCCCAGUCAACUCAAACGGCUGGCCUCUACUACCAUUCAUUGAUUUGUUAUUUCAAUACACCCAUCCGUUCUGACGAUAGCUAUUUCCAAAGAAUAAAUCUUUUAUUUGCUAUCCACUUUUGAAAUUAGAUUUCUCACCUUCUCCUUCAAUCAGGACUUCUUCUCCAUCUUCCCUUUGAGUCGAAAGUAUGCCGAUUCAACUCCUCUCCCAUGAGGUAAGAGAUCUCUCCUCUAUUUAGAGUAUUCUUUGUGGUUUUGUGUGCUUGCGAGUUUCCUGAUCUAUAAAUAUGCUGAAAGAUAAUCUCUUGAAAGCAAGAUUUCUUGUUCUGAAUGUCUCUUAUAAUCGCUCCGAUCACUGAUUUAUCUGUUGAAGACGAUUGACAUUUUUUUUAUUGUUCUGGAAUCCCCCAUGACUUUAACCGAUUGUAUACCCAUUAUUAUCCCUAACUUUAUGCCUUCCAAGCAUGCAAAUGCUUCUACUGCAAACGGGGAAGAGACAUUGUUGUAGAGGGUUGACUUUAAGACCAGAAUACAUUUCAUACACAUAUCUUAUGUCAAUAAAAUACACAUUACCAUUGGACAUAAUCAACUAAAGUCAUUCAUUAAACAUAUUACUUAACCGUUAACGAAUAUAUCAAACACCUCACACAUACUUAUAUAUAUAUGCCUAAAUACAUAUAUAUGCAAGUGCUGAAUCAUCAAUUAAACAUAUUCAUUAUCCAAAUCCAGCAUUUAGUCGAAUUCACUCAUCAACUCAAAAUAAUUAUUAAUAUCUAAUGCAAAACAUACGCACAUCAUUUUUACCAUGAGUAACCUAACAAACAUAUUUCAUAUUCAUAUAUAUACCAAAACUGAUUCAACCAAAACACAUCCAAAAUCAUCAGCCAUAUUCCAUGCAUAUAGCAUAUAUAAACAUGACUAAGUUCAUAUAACCACUUACCAUAUUAGCCAUUUUCGCAUGGCUUAAUAUAUACACCACUUCAUACUUAUCCAAAUAUAACCUAGCUUAUACAUACCAUAGAUCCAAGUUUAAACUUAUAAUGUACCAAAAACAGUCAAUAAUGUGAUGGAUUUUGCUGAUGAUCCCCGAGCUCGUAACUAAUCUUCAAAAUCUAUAAAACAGAGGCAAACAUAAAUACACAUACAGUAAAAUAUUGUAGCUUAGUAAGUCAUAAGCAAAUAAAUCAUUAAAUGAACAUUAGUAUUGAACUAACUAAACUGAAUCAAAUAAUCUAUAAUCAGAUACACAUUUUUCAUGCUUGAAACUCAUAUACCAUCACAUGAACGAUAUGUAAUAAUAUUAACUUGGCCGAAUACACAUUAGUUGUGACACCCCUAAAGUGACCCUAGUCGGAAAGUGGUUUUGGGACCACUAAACCGAGUCAUAAAGAUAAUUAACCGUCAUAGUUGAUGCUCAUUAUAUGUACAUAUGCAUGUGUGAAAAUUUCAUGUUUGAAUUUUGUUAAUAGUAAGUGAAUUUUAUCAAAUAGGACUUAUGUGAGAAAAUUUUGAAAUGUGAUAGGUCAAAGCAUAAGGAUCUAUUAGUGCAUGAAAUAAAAAGGGGGGACUUGCAUGUCAAUUUCCCCCCUAAUUAGUAGUGGCCGGCCAUGACAAGUAUGGUAGACCAAGUGUGAUGGGCAAGAACAUGUCAUAAACAUGUUAAGUUAGUGUUUCAUGGGAAGUAUGAUAAAAUAAGGAGCAUGGGAAUAAAAUAAUGAAAGGGAAUAUGAUGAAAACAAAAAAAAAAAGUGUGUGGUUGUUCCCCCAUUUUGCCGAAACAAGAAAAAAAAAAGAGAAAGGCUUCAUCCUUUGGUUCUUCUUGGCCGGUUUGAAAGGAGGAAGAAGAGAGGUUUCGGUCACCUUGAGCUUAAGGGGAGGUUAGUAUGUUGUGUUAAAUUCUUAAGUUUUAAACUUGUUUCUAGUUAAUUAGCAAAUUUCUUACACAAACCAUUGCAAAAUUUUGAAAUCUCGGUGAUGGCUUGAGCAUUCAGUUUUGGUUGUUGAAAGGAAUGAGUUGGAGGUUGGAUCAUGUUAAGAUUCGGCCUUGUACAUAAACAUUAAGAGUUUGAUGUUUUUGAGAUUUUUGGAAGGUAAAUAAGGUUAUACACAAGAUAAAUACUAAGAUUUUGGUUGACUUGUUUUAGUGAGGUUCGGCCAAGGACCUUAUGUGCAAGUUUAUUCGGUUUAAGUAGAGAAAACGUGACGGAUAGAUAUGAAGUAAUGUGUAUAUUGGUUUGGAUGCUAAGCAAGGAAAUAAUUGUUAGUAACAUAGUAUCUAUGCACUUAUGUAUAUAUAUGUAUGUACAAAUAACCUAUUUAGCUAUGGAUAUCUAAGGUGUUAAAUAAUGAAAUUCUUGAUGACUUGGGUUAAAUAGCAUUCGGCCAAGGACUAUAUGGGCUUGUUAAUUCGGUUUAAGUGAAGAAACUAUGAUAGAGAAAUAUGACUAAAUUGUGGACUUUGACAAUUUAAAUGAUGCAUUUGACUUGUGUACCGACCUAGGACGAUAUGUGUUUCUAUAUGAAGUUAGAUGGUGUUGAUGAAGUUCGGUAAUGCAUGAUGUUUAAAUAGUAUUGAGCAAGGUCAUUGUACUUAAAUUGUAUGACAUACAUGUAUUGAAUGGAAUUACCCAAGUGAAAAUAUUAAAUGAAUUUAUUUGUUUAAAUUAAGCUCAAGAGCAAAUGGGAUCUAAAUCCGAUAAAGGGAAGGAAAAAGUGAUCGAAUAGCCGCCGAAAUCGUUCGACCACAUCCGAGGUAAGCUUUAAGUGAUUAAACGUUGAGUAAAUUCAAUCAUAAUAGGACAUAAUGAGUUGAUUUAAUAAGAUAUGAUGUGGCCAUGAUAUGUCUUAAACUCAAAUGGUAAGUUCAUAUGUGUUUGGACUUGGAAAGUUAAGAGCAAAUUGUAAUAAUUUGCUUUGGACAGCAGCAGUAACGUGAUUUUAGAAAAUCACUAUAAAUUGUUGGUGUGGAAUUAUAGGCUGAAUAAAAUAUGUAAUCAAGGCUUAAUUAGUCUAGUUUCUUAUAAAAGAGACCUUGUGAGCAAACAAAUUUCCUAUAAAGAGAUAUUUAAAGUUGUGUGAGACGGUGUCAGAAUGACUCUGAAAUCCCCUGUUCUGUUUUUAGAAAAUCAUUAUAAAUUGUACAAAAAUGGUUAUAAGAUAAAAUUUAUAUGCUUAGACUCCUUAAUGAGUCUAGUUUCAAAUGAAAUCAAAUACAACACAUUUUGAAUUCUGUAAAAUGAGAAAUUUGAUUCGCAGUGAAGAGUGCUCAGAUUAGUCAAACAGAGAAACAGGGGAAACUUUAAGAAAAAUCUGGUAUUGAUUGGCCAAACCUAAAAUUCUGAAACUUUUAUGGAUGGAAGAUAUACAAGUCUAUAUUUAGGGAAGAUUAACGGCAAGUGAUUUGGAGUUUUGUAGCUCCAGUUAUAAAUAAUUUAGUGACUACUGCUCAGGAAAACAGCUCGUAAUGAAUAUGUGAUUUUGUUGUAAACAUGGAUAAAACUUGUUUUAGUUACUCAUAAGCUAUUGAUUAAACCCAUACGUGAAUUCUAAAUCGUGAUAUUGUAAAACGAUAUAUGAGUGUUAGAUGGAUCUUUGAUAUUAAAAUUUGUGAAAUUGUAAGUUUAUGAGUAUUCGAAUAUGAAAUGAUAGUAUGGCGUGAAAUUGAAUUAUUCAUUGGGAAAUGAUUAAUGUAGAUUCGGCCAAGACAAAGUGUAUACAUGAUAGUAUAUGUGAUAUGUGAAGUAUAUUUGGAUAAUUGUGAUGUGAAUGUAUAUAUAUGUGAUAAGGCCUAAUGGCCGAUGUGAUGAAUGUGAAAGUGUAUAUAUGUGAUAAGGCCUAAUAGCCGAUGUGAUGAAUAUGAAAGUGUAUAUAUGUGAUAAGGCCGAAUGGCCAAUGUGAUGAAUGUGAAAGUGUAUAUAUGUGAUAAGGCCGAAUGGCCACUGUGAUGAAUGUGAAAGUGUAUAUACAUGUGAUAAGGCCUAAUGGCCGAUGUGAUGAAUGUGAAAGUGUAUAUAUAUGUGAUAAGGCCUAAUGGCCGAUGUGAUGAAUAUGAAAGUGUAUAUAUGUGAUAAGGCCGAAUGGCCAAUGUGAUGAAUGUGAAAGUGUAUAUAUGUGAUAAGGCCGAAUGGCCAAUGUGAUGAAUGUGAAAGUGUAUAUACAUGUGAUAAGGCCUAAUGGCCGAUGUGAUGAAUGUGAAAGUGUAUAUAUAUGUGAUAAGGCCUAAUGGCCGAUGUGAUGAAUGUGAAAGUGUAUAUAUGUGAUAAGGCCUAAUAGCCGAUGUGAUGAAUGUGAAAGUGUAUAUAUGUGAUGAGGCCUAAUGGCCGAUGUGAUGAAUGUGAAAGUGUAUAUAUGUGACAGGGCCGAGUGGCCAACGUGAUGGAUGUGAAAGUGUAUAAAUGUGAUAAGUCCCGAAGGGCAAUUGUGUCAGUACUAUAUCCGGGUUAAAACCCCGCAGGCUUUAUGCGAGAGUAUUAUCCUGAUUAUUGUCCGUAGGCUUCGUGCUCGUACUAUAUCCGAGCUUUAAAGACCCGACGGCUAAAUGCUAGGAUUCAAGUAAGACUUUGAUAUUGAGUAUCUGCAUUAAGUUACCAUCAAAUAAGUAUUAUGUAUUCAAGAUGUUCAGGUACGUAUUACUUACUCAUCGGUGGAGUGAUUUCGAGGUGAAUUAUCAGUAUCAAAGAGGUAGGUAAAUGUGAUUAAUAUUAUAACUCCAAAUGUGAGAAUGUGCUUUGGAAAUAUUUGACCAUCUAGGUCAUUAUUAUUCGAAAGUAUAUAUGUGGCAGCCAAGUGUUGCGUUUAAUGAUAUUAUAGAUCGAGAUGAAGCUCUAGAUUAACUUCAUCGAACAGUUGAAAUGAAUGACCAAUAAUAGUGAUUGAGAACACUUUGUCUUGCUUAAAACUUACUAAGCAUUAAAUGCUUACUCCGUUCUUUGAAUCUCUGUUUUAUAGAUUUUGGUUCGUCAGCUAUCGGACUCGGGAUUAUUGAAGUCGAAGUCGCCCACACUAUCAAAGCCCUUUUGGUACACUUUUGGUUGAACUCUGAAAAUGGCAUGUAUAGGACUACCCUUUUGUAGUGGGUCAUGGACCCUUUGGAUUUGUAUAAUUUUGGAUAGCCAUGCGAAAAUGGCUUAUAUAUGUUUGAGCAUAAUGUUAUAAUCAUUUGGUAUGGAUAUGGUUAUUGAGAGGUGUGGAUAUGCUUAACAAGGAUUGGCCAUGGGAAUGGUUAAUCACUAUCAUAAUUUGUGUUAUUUAUGCUAAAAGGGCUAGUUGAAUCAUGGAAACUAUGAAAUAGGUAAAGUCUACCUUAAAGGCAGAUGUUGACAGCAGCAGUGAUGUAGAUUUGGAAAAUCACUAAAAAUAGUAGGAAUAGAAUUAAAUAGUGAAUAAAUUAUUUAAAUAAACCUUGAUGAAUCCACUUUCAUAUGGAAGAAACGAAACGGUCAUAUGAGUGGUAUGUUAAGAGAUAAUUAGGUUUUCGUGAGACAGGGCUAGAACGGUUUCUGGAUUCCUGUUCCGACUUUGGAAAUUCAUUAUAAAUUAACCAGAGAUAAUUAGGAGUCAUGCCAUAUAUGUAUAGAUUCCUCUCUGAGUCUAGUUUCUAUAGAAACAAAUGGCAUCAGUAUUGAAGCCCUGUACAGGGAGAUAUCCAAAUUGUAAUGCAUGAAGGUCAGUGUAGUCGUACCCUGUAACAGGGGAGACUUUAACUAAUAAACUGUACUAAUUGGCCCAACCAAAAAUUCUAGAAAAAAAUAUGUUGAUGGAAAUAGGAGUCUAGUUUCAGGGAAAAAUCACGAAACUGAUUUUCGAGUUGUGAAAAUCAAGAUAUGAUUUUUAAGGUGACAGCGACACAGUUAGCCAGCUGUCUGGAAAAAUUUAAAAUGGACUGCAAUAGUAAGCGAAUUUAGUCUGUGAACCCCUCGUGUCCGACUCCGGCAAUGGUCUCGAGUACGGGGUGUUACAAUUUUAUUAGUAUCAGAGCUACGGUUUAGUCGAUUCUAGGACUACCGUAAUACGUUUGGGUCUAGCUAUACAUGACAUUAUGUGAUUAUUUGAUAGUGUGGUGAUUUCUGACAAUUGAAAAUGUGUUUAUUUAUUGUAAUGAAUUCCGAUCCCGAUCGAGCUGUAGCAGAUGGUAUUGAGAGGAUUGAGACAUGCUUAUGAUGUGUCAAUAUUGAGAAGGGUAUAACAUAAGUAAGUUUUGAGUAAUUGAAUUUGGUAUUUAACUUAAAAUGCCAUGAUAUACAUGUAUGAAAAAUGAAUGAUGUCCCAUUGUCCUUAUCAUAAUAAGGUUAUUAGAGAAAUGAACAAAGGAAGAGAUUGGGGAUAUAUGCUUUUAUGUGAUUGCUUAUUGAGCUGAAAGUUUAGUAAAAGAAGCAUACAUGUAUUAGAUUUGAAUGAUAUUUACGACUUAAAGUCAAGAAUCAUGUUAUAUGUUUACAUGUGAAUGAAUUGAUUAAAUUAUAAAUGUGAUUUGUGCCAUGUGAAACAUGAUAACAUGUGAAUAAAUAUGUAUGAGACUCAGUGAUGUGAAUCCGAGUUUAAAGACCCGCUGACUAUAUGAAGAGAUUAUGUCCGGGUAAAGACCCGAUGGCUAUGUACAGAGAUUAUGUCCGGAUUAAAAUUCGCUGGCCUUGUGUGGAGAUUUCAUCCGAGCUAAAGGUCUCGACGAUGAUCCGGGCUAAGUCCCGAAGAGCAUUCAUGCUAGUGAUGUACCCGGGCUAAGUCCCGAAGAGCAUUCAUGCUAGUGAUGUAUCCGGGCUAAGUCCCGAAGAGCAUUCGUGCUAGUGAUGUAUCCGGGCUAAGUCUCGAAGAGCAUUCGUGCUAGUGAUGUAUCCGGACUAAGUUCCGAAGAGCAUUCGUGCUAGUGAUAUAUCCGUGCUAAACCCCGAAGAGCAUUCGUGCUGGUGUUAUAUCCGGGCUAGGUCCCGAAGAGCAAUCAUGCUAGUGACGUGUAUUCGGGCCUUCGUGCCUAGUAGGCUUCGUGCCGGUAAUUUGAGCAAAGUUUAAGUAUUCAUUACUAUACGAAUUCAAAUUUAAAUGAGAUGAUAUGUUUAAAAGUGUACAUACAUGAUGUUUAUAGACUUGGUUAAGUCAUUUCAGUGUGUAAUAACGAAUGAUUAGAGGCACUGUGUGUGUGCGAAUUCCUUUAAUCGAGCACUAUGAGUGCGAGAUCGGUCAGUGGGCACUAAGUGUGUGAAGUGGAAUUCAUGUAAGACCUCGUCUGGGACGAAAGCAUUGAUUUGAGAUAGUGUGUAAGACCAUGUCUGGGACAUGGCAUCGGCUCGUUAUGUGAGCAUAUGUAAGACCAUAUCUAGGACAUGGCAUUGUAAGAGCUAUAUGUGCUUAAUGAGUAUCCGUAAUGAUUUCGAAUGAUUCAACGGGUAUAUUUAAGAUGAUAAAUAAAGUAAGAUCAGAAUAAGUGAUACAGGUAUGUACGGAAGGUAUGUGAAAAUCAAAUGAAAGUAAAAAAAAAUUGUGAGUUCAUAUUAUAUUAUGUUAUGUAUACUAAAUAAGUUGAAUAGUGAGAUAUGAUGGAGUUAUUAAGGAUAUUUAUUGGGAUGGUUGAGUAUAUGUGUACUUUUGGUCAGAUUACAGCUUAUACAUGAAUAAAAAUGUGGGUUACAAAUAUGUGGGUUGAUGAUGUGAAUUAUACAUGUUAAUAUGUGCUUAAUAUGUGUUUGAAAUGCAUUUGUGAAUUAAAUUAAGUGAUUAUUGCUUAUGAAAUCAAGAAAAUGAGAUAUAUGUGCAUUCUUGUAGAAAUGUUUAUGUAUUUGUUUUAAGAUAAGAAAAUGAUUUUAUGGAUCGAUGCGAAAUCAGUAAUGAAUUACAAUUGCUAUCGAUGAGCUAAUGUUUAUAUGGAUAUAAUUCAAUAAGAGGACGUUAUCCUAAACUAUGCAUCGGUAGAAAUUUUCGAGGACGAAAAUCCCUAAAGGGGGGAAGAGUUGUGACACCCCUAAAGUGACCCUAGUCGGAAAGUGGUUUCGGGACCACUAAACCGAGUCAUAAAGAUAAUUAACCGUCAUAGUUGAUGCUCAUUAUAUGUACAUAUGCAUGUGUGAAAAUUUCAUGUUUGAAUUUUGUUAAUAGUAAGUAAAUUUUAUCAAAUAGGACUUAUGUGAGAAAAUUUUGAAAUGUGAUAGGUCAAAGCAUAAGGAUCUAUUAGUGCAUGAAAUAAAAAGGGGGGACUUGCAUGUCAAUUUCCCCCCCUAAUUAGUAGUGGCCGGCCAUGACAAGUAUGGUAGACCAAGUGUGAUGGGCAAGAACAUGUCAUAAACAUGUUAAGUUAGUGUUUCAUGGGAAGUAUGAUAAAAUAAGGAGCAUGGGAAUAAAAUAAUGAAAGGGAAUAUGAUGAAAACAAAAAAAAAGUGUGUGGUUGUUCCCCCAUUUUGCCGAAACAAGAAAAAAAAAGAGAAAGGCUUCAUCCUUUGGUUCUUCUUGGCCGGUUUGAAAGGAGGAAGAAGAGAGGUUUCGGUCACCUUGAGCUUAAAGGGAGGUUAGUAUGUUGUGUUAAAUUCUUAAGUUUUAAACUUGUUUCUAGUUAAUUAGCAAAUUUCUUACACAAACCAUGGCAAAAUUUUGAAAUCUCGGUGAUGGCUUGAGCAUUCGGUUUUGGUUGUUGAAAGGAAUGAGUUGGAGGUUGGAUCAUGUUAAGAUUCGGCCUUGUACAUAAACAUUAAGAGUUUGAUGUUUUUGCGAUUUUUGGAAGGUAAAUAAGGUUAUACACAAGAUAAAUACUAAGAUUUUGGUUGACUUGUUUUAGUGAGGUUCGGCCAAGGACCUUAUGUGCAAGUUUAUUCGGUUUAAGUAGAGAAAACGUGACGGAUAGAUAUGAAGUAAUGUGUAUAUUGGUUCGGCUGCUAAGCAAGGAAACAAUUGUUAGUAACAUAGUAUCUAUGCACUUAUGUAUAUAUAUGUAUGUACAAAUAACCUAUUUAGCUAUGGAUAUCUAAGGUGUUAAAAAAUGAAAUUCUUGAUGACUUGGGUUAAAUAGCAUUCGGCCAAGGACUAUAUGGGCUUGUUAAUUCGGUUUAAGUGGAGAAACUAUGAUAGAGAAAUAUGACUAAAUUGUGAACUUUGACAAUUUAAAUGAUGCAUUUGACUUGUGUACCGACCUAGGACGAUAUGUGUUUCUAUAUGAAGUUAGAUGGUGUUGAUGAAGUUCGGUAAUGCAUGAUGUUUAAAUAGUAUUGAGCAAGGUCAUUGUACUUAAAUUGUAUGACAUACAUGUAUUGAAUGGAAUUACCCAAGUGAAAAUAUUAAAUGAAUUUAUUUGUUUAAAUUAAGCUCAAGAGCAAAUGGGAUCUAAAUCCGAUAAAGGGAAGGAAAAAGUGAUCGAAUAGCCGCCGAAAUCGUUCGACCACAUCCGAGGUAAGUUUUAAGUGAUUAAACGUUGAGUAAAUUCAAUCAUAAUAGGACAUAAUGAGUUGAUUUAAUAAGAUAUGAUGUGGCCAUGAUAUGUCUUAAACUCAAAUGGUAAGUUCAUACGUGUUUGGACUUGGAAAGUUAAGAGCAAAUAGUAAUAAUUUGCUUUGGACAGUAGCAGUAACGUGAUUUUAGAAAAUCACUAUAAAUUGUUGGUGUGGAAUUAUAGGCUGAAUAAAAUAUGUAAUCAAGGCUUAAUUAGUCUAGUUUCUUAUAAAAGAGACCUUGUGAGCAAACAAAUUUCCUAUAAACAGAUAUUUAAAGUUGUGUGAGACGGUGUUAGAAUGACUCCGAAAUCUCCUGUUCUGUUUUUAGAAAAUCAUUAUAAAUUGUACAAAAAUGGUUAUAAGAUAAAAUUUAUAUGCUUAGACUCCUUAAUGAGUCUAGUUUCAAAUGAAAUCAAAUACAACACAUUUUGAAUUCUGUAAAAUGAGAAAUUUGAUUCACAGUGAAGAGUGGUCAGAUUAGUCAAACAGAGAAACAGGGGAAACUUUAAGAAAAAUCUGGUAUUGAUUGGCCAAACCUAAAAUUCUGAAACUUUUAUGGAGGGAAUAUAUACGAGUCUGUAUUCAGGGAAAAUUAACGGCAAGUGAUUUUGAGUUUUGUAGCUCCAGUUAUAAAUAAUUUAGUGACUACUGCUCAAGAAAAUAGCUCGUAGUGAAUAUGUGAUUUUGUUGUAAACAUGGAUAAAACUUGUUUUAGUUACUCAUAAGCUAUUGAUUAAACCCAUACGUGAAUUCUAAAUCGUGAUAUUGUAAAACGAUAUAUGAGUGUUAGAUGGAUCUUUGAUAUUAAAAUUUGAGAAAUUGUAAGUUUAUGAGUAUUCGAAUAUGAAAUGAUAGUAUGGCGUGAAAUUGAAUUAUUCAUUGGGAAAUGAUUAAUGUAGAUUCGGCCUAGACAAAGUGCAUACAUGAUAGUAUAUGUGAUAUGUGAAGUAUAUUUGGAUAAUUGUGAUGUGAAUGUAUAUAUAUGUGAUAAGGCUUAAUGGCCGAUGUGAUGAAUGUGAAAGUGUAUAUACAUGUGAUAAGGCCUAAUGGCCGAUGUGAUGAAUGUGAAAGUGUAUAUAUAUGUGAUAAGGCCUAAUGGCCGAUGUGAUGAAUAUGAAAGUGUAUAUAUGUGAUAAGGCCGAAUGGCCAAUGUGAUGAAUGUGAAAGUGUAUAUACAUGUGAUAAGGCCUAAUGGCCGAUGUGAUGAAUGUGAAAGUGUAUAUAUAUGUGAUAAGGCCUAAUGGCCGAUGUGAUGAAUGUGAAAGUGUAUAUAUGUGAUAAGGCCUAAUAGCCGAUGUGAUGAAUGUGAAAGUGUAAUAUGUGAUGAGGCCUAAUGGCCGAUGUGAUGAAUGUGAAAGUGUAUAUAUGUGACAGGGCCGAGUGGCCAACGUGAUGGAUGUGAAAGUGUAUAAAUGUGAUAAGUCCCGAAGGGCAAUUGUGUCAGUACUAUAUCCGGGUUAAAACCCCGCAGGCUUUAUGCGAGAGUAUUAUCCUGAUUAAUGUCCGUAGGCUUCGUGCUCGUACUAUAUCCGAGCUUUAAAGACCCGACGGCUAAAUGCUAGGAUUCAAGUAAGACUUUGAUAUUGAGUAUCUGCAUUAAGUUACCAUCAAAUAAGUAUUAUGUAUUCAAGAUGUUCAGGUACGUAUUACUUACUCAUCGGUGGAGUGAUUUCGAGGUGAAUUAUCAGUAUCAAAGAGGUAGGUAAAUGUGAUUAAUAUUAUAACUCCAAAUGUGAGAAUGUGCUUUGGAAAUAUUUGACCAUCUAGGUCAUUAUUAUUCGAAAGUAUAUAUGUGGCAGCCAAGUGUUGC